UUGCUUCUUUGCUGACGAGUGGCGGACGGGUGAGUAAUGUCUGGGAAACUGCCUGAUGGAGGGGGAUAACUACUGGAAACGGUAGCUAAUACCGCAUAACGUCGCAAGACCAAAGAGGGGGACCUUCGGGCCUCUUGCCAUCGGAUGUGCCCAGAUGGGAUUAGCUAGUAGGUGGGGUAACGGCUCACCUAGGCGACGAUCCCUAGCUGGUCUGAGAGGAUGACCAGCCACACUGGAACUGAGACACGGUCCAGACUCCUACGGGAGGCAGCAGUGGGGAAUAUUGCACAAUGGGCGCAAGCCUGAUGCAGCCAUGCCGCGUGUAUGAAGAAGGCCUUCGGGUUGUAAAGUACUUUCAGCGGGGAGGAAGGGAGUAAAGUUAAUACCUUUGCUCAUUGACGUUACCCGCAGAAGAAGCACCGGCUAACUCCGUGCCAGCAGCCGCGGUAAUACGGAGGGUGCAAGCGUUAAUCGGAAUUACUGGGCGUAAAGCGCACGCAGGCGGUUUGUUAAGUCAGAUGUGAAAUCCCCGGGCUCAACCUGGGAACUGCAUCUGAUACUGGCAAGCUUGAGUCUCGUAGAGGGGGGUAGAAUUCCAGGUGUAGCGGUGAAAUGCGUAGAGAUCUGGAGGAAUACCGGUGGCGAAGGCGGCCCCCUGGACGAAGACUGACGCUCAGGUGCGAAAGCGUGGGGAGCAAACAGGAUUAGAUACCCUGGUAGUCCACGCCGUAAACGAUGUCGACUUGGAGGUUGUGCCCUUGAGGCGUGGCUUCCGGAGCUAACGCGUUAAGUCGACCGCCUGGGGAGUACGGCCGCAAGGUUAAAACUCAAAUGAAUUGACGGGGGCCCGCACAAGCGGUGGAGCAUGUGGUUUAAUUCGAUGCAACGCGAAGAACCUUACCUGGUCUUGACAUCCACGGAAGUUUUCAGAGAUGAGAAUGUGCCUUCGGGAACCGUGAGACAGGUGCUGCAUGGCUGUCGUCAGCUCGUGUUGUGAAAUGUUGGGUUAAGUCCCGCAACGAGCGCAACCCUUAUCCUUUGUUGCCAGCGGUCCGGCCGGGAACUCAAAGGAGACUGCCAGUG
Molecule: ribosomal RNA, 1083 nt
Filed under: Escherichia coli
Lineage: Bacteria; Pseudomonadati; Pseudomonadota; Gammaproteobacteria; Enterobacterales; Enterobacteriaceae
Description: bacterial SSU rRNA
Rfam family: Bacterial small subunit ribosomal RNA
Source: RNAcentral